CAUCUAUCAUCAAAAUAAAUCUGGUUCAUCUAUCCAGCCCUAUACAUACCUAAUUCAAGAUAUAGAUUAUUAUCAGAAUUUAAAGAACAUAGCCACUGUACAACAAUCUGAAUACAACUAACUUGCCUCUAUUCUCAGGCAAUGUCUGGUGCCAGGCAACCAGCAGUCCAAAUGACUUGCAUAACCGAACAGCCUCUUCUCAUGUUCCGCUGGUGUUGUCUUGAUCCAAUUGAAAAAUGUCCAAAGUACGGUAAGCCUCAGAAUGAACUUCUCAACCUCCCUCUUAAGGCCGACUGAACAAACUAUAUUCCAAACUCUUGAGUUUAACAUUUCCGGACAAAUGUUUCAUAUUCUUUUCAUUGAGGCAGGCGGCCUCUGCUUGCAGUUUAGAUGCCACCUCUACUUGCUUAUUUGUGUUACUAUCACAAGAAUGAAGCACCUAUCAGUACAUGACCUGCCAUCACUCAGAUAUCUCCAACAAUCAGUUUCUCAACACCAAUCAACAGCUGCUCCAGCAGGACAGACCAGAGUCUCCAGCCUGGCUCAAUUUAGUCGGUGCCGCCUAAGCUGCCACAGGGACCGGUCCGGCCACCACAUAGGACGCACUUGAAGCCUAAGUGGUGCCAAUGAGGCAAACUACCACCAUGCCAACACUUACAAAUACUCGCAUUUAACAGAAGCAUGAUGUUUCAUAAUUUACGUCUGCAGUUGCUCAGGAUUAGUUUACUUGGGCCUUGGUGCCUAUCCAAGGGAUAUAACCCCCUCCUCCUUUCAGAUUCAUAGCUAGUCUGAGUGUCUGACGCGGAGCCCUACCACUGAAAAACAGCAUACUUUAUGCUGCAUCAGUUACUGUAAUAUUCAAGAUCCAAUGAGACUUCUAAAACAGGAGAUUCAAGAAUAUCUAUCCUGAAUAUCGGCAAAAAAUUCCCAUUGCAAUAACCUCAAAGGCACAUCAUCAGUAUUGCAGAUGCCAUAAAUCUGUUUUCCCAGCUGAAACUGAUUGAACUGUGAUUAAACUACAGCGGGAGCAGAGAAAGCCAACAAGGUCUCUGUUGCUCCAUCUCACAUUGUUCCCCAGAAUGGAAAUUGAAUAACCUCCAAUAGUAGCAUAAUAACGGGCACCAAGAAGGUAUAACCUUUUCAAGGUAAUGCAAUCACAAUUUUUCAUGCUAUUCAAGCAAGAUUAUCCUCUUCAAUGCGUUGCAAAAGCUCCUCGUAAACCUUCAAGGUCUUGGCAGUAAACCUUUCCAUGGCCUCCAAAAUAUGUCUCAGACCAAGCUGAAGACUACUAUUUUUGCUUGUGUCACUCUGGUACACAACAUGCCUAUUUAGUGAGAGACCAUUUUCAUCCCCAGAAACGAGUACUAUUCUUUUGCCCAUUGCAUGAAUCUCCUUUUGUAUCUUCUGGUCCUCUCUCUCCAGGUUCUUCACUUUUCUCUCCAUAUCCUUGUUCACCAUCAUCCUUUGCCGCAUUUCCAGUUUAUCUCGCUCCCAGAGCUGAAAGACAUUAGUUGCAAAAUCUCGCAUACAGUCAAUAACUUCUUUCUCAGAAACUCCAUCAAUGGUUUGUGACCACUGAUUACAAAUGACAAAAAUUGGGGGAGCACCAAUCCUUCCGGGAGAGAAGGGAACUCUUCCAUCGGGUGUUUCUUCAGGCACAUACAGAAGACAUUUCAUGAGCCAAGAGUUUAGAGCUCUCACAUAACCUU
RNAcentral lists this long non-coding RNA (1709 nucleotides) under Nicotiana benthamiana. RNAcentral describes it as "long non-coding RNA (NBEN_LNC024408)". The record is from RNAcentral. Lineage: Eukaryota; Viridiplantae; Streptophyta; Magnoliopsida; Solanales; Solanaceae.